Long non-coding RNA from Oncorhynchus tshawytscha (Chinook salmon), 399 nucleotides. NCBI's taxonomy places the organism in Eukaryota, Metazoa, Chordata, Actinopteri, Salmoniformes, Salmonidae. The record is from Ensembl.
UUGUGGACGCAAAUCCCAUUCAAGUCCUGGUACCGAUAUUAGCUUUUUUUUCCCACGCCUCACGUUUGAACAUGAUGCGUGAAAAAUGCAGUUACCCAACAGUGUGUAUGCCACCAUCUUGGUCUAUUUAAAAUCUCCUCUCAUUGAUUGAGACAGGUGGGUGUCCACUCCAAAGUGCCGCCCCCUGCAACGAGACUUGGACGUUUGGAACGGGGCAGCAGGUAUCCUAGUGGUUAGAGGAGGUAUCCUAGUGGUUAGAGGAGGUAUCCUAGUGGUUAGAGGAGGCAGGUAGCCUAGUGGUUAGAGGAGGCAGGUAGCCUAGUGGUUAGAGGAGGUAUCCUAGUGGUUAGAGGAGGUAUCCUAGUGGUUAGAGGAGGCAGGUAGCCUAGUGGUUAGAGG